GUUGGGAUAGCUCAGUUGGUAGAGCAGAGGACUGAAAAUCCUCGUGUC
RNAcentral lists this transfer RNA (48 nucleotides) under Senecio meuselii. Its description in RNAcentral is "partial tRNA-Phe". It matches the Rfam family "tRNA", at positions 1 to 46 of the family's 71-position model. From Rfam's summary of the family: Transfer RNA (tRNA) molecules are approximately 80 nucleotides in length. Their secondary structure includes four short double-helical elements and three loops (D, anti-codon, and T loops). Lineage: Eukaryota; Viridiplantae; Streptophyta; Magnoliopsida; Asterales; Asteraceae. The record is from RNAcentral.